AACGUAGGAUCCGAGCGUUAUCCGAAUUCACUGGGCGUAAAGCGCUUGUAGGCGGCAUGGCAAGUUGGAUGUAAAACCUCCUGGCUCAACUAGGAGCGGACGUUCAAUACUGUCAGGCUAGAGGACGGUAGAGGGAGGUGGAAUUCCCGGUGUAGUGGUGAAAUGCGUAGAUAUCGGGAGGAACACCAGAGGCGAAGGCGGCCUCCUGGACCGUAACUGACGCUGAGAAGCGAAAGCUAGGGGAGCGAACGGG
RNAcentral lists this ribosomal RNA (253 nucleotides) under uncultured bacterium. Its description in RNAcentral is "partial 16S ribosomal RNA". It matches the Rfam family "Bacterial small subunit ribosomal RNA", at positions 524 to 776 of the family's 1533-position model. The record is from RNAcentral.